Long non-coding RNA from Portunus trituberculatus (swimming crab), 348 nucleotides. RefSeq lists it as uncharacterized. NCBI's taxonomy places the organism in Eukaryota, Metazoa, Arthropoda, Malacostraca, Decapoda, Portunidae. The transcript is spliced from 2 exons. The record is from RefSeq and is a predicted model, not a curated record.
UGUAUGCAUUUAUUAAGCUGAGCUGAAACAUGUGCAAAGUUGACAUUAACGUGAAUAAAUUGAUAUCUUGUGUAUUGGAAAUCGAGCUUUUAAAAAGUGGCUAUUCUCACAAUUGUAAUGGACCAAAUUUAUUAAUAGAAAUCAAUGGAAUGUUCAUAUGCUCAAUACAUUACCUGUGUGUGUGUGUGUGUGUGUGUGUGUGUGUGUGUAGAGAGGUAGGCAGUCUGCUUACCACGUACUGUACAGCUCCACUCCUAAUCCACCACAGUGUUGCCAUGCUAUGUAUUGCUUCCUGACCGCCUGUGUUGCCAUUGUACCAAGGUGAAGUCAAUAAAAUGUCGACAAAUG